This 433-nucleotide ribosomal RNA is filed under the name uncultured bacterium. RNAcentral describes it as "partial 16S ribosomal RNA". It matches the Rfam family "Bacterial small subunit ribosomal RNA", at positions 29 to 507 of the family's 1533-position model. The record is from RNAcentral.
AACGAACGCUGGCGGCAUGCCUAACACAUGCAAGUCGAACGAGACCUUCGGGUCUAGUGGCGCACGUGUGCGUAACGCGUUGGAACCUGCCCUUAGGUUCGGAAUAACUCCCCGAAAUGGGUGCUAAUACCUGAUAAUGUCUUCGGACCAAAGAUUGAUCGCCUUUGGAUGGGCGCGCGUUGGAUUAGCUAGUUGGUAGGGUUAAAGCCUACCCAGGCGACGAUCCAUAGCUGGUCUGAGAGGAUGAUCAGCCACACUGGGACUGAGACCCGGCCCAGAAUCCUACGGGAGGCAGCAGUGGAGAAUAUUGGACAAGGGGGGAAAACCUGAUCCAGCAAUGCCGCGUAAGUGAUGAAGGCCUUAGGGUUGUAAAGCUCUUUUACACGGGAUGAUAAUGACAGUACCGGGAGAAUAAGCUCCGGCUAACUCCGUG